AAGGAUCAUUGUCGAACCUGCAAGGCAGAACGACCUGUGAACAUGUAAAUACAAACCGGUGAUGGGGAAUGGUCCUUAUCCCCUUCCCCUCCCUACAUGCGUGUGUGGAGCUCCGUUUGGGGUGCCAUGGAUGUCAUGUUGGGAUUUAACAAACCCCGGCACGGAAUGUGCCAAGGAAAACAAAAGUGAGAAGGACUCGUCUUGUCUUGCCCCGUUCGCGGUGUGCAAGCGGGUUGUGGCCUCUUUGUACUAAAAACGACUCUCGGCAACGGAUAUCUCGGCUCACGCAUCGAUGAAGAACGUAGCAAAAUGCGAUACUUGGUGUGAAUUGCAGAAUCCCGUGAACCAUCGAGUUUUUGAACGCAAGUUGCGCCCGAAGCCAUCCGGCCGAGGGCACGCCUGCCUGGGCGUCACGUUUCGCGUCGCCCCCUACCAUAUAUACCCAACGGGUACUCAUGGUGUUUGGGGCGGAGAUUGGCCUCCCGUACUUGUGAUGCGGUUGGCCUAAAAAUGAGUCCCCUUCAGCGGACGCACGACUAGUGGUGGUUGAACAGACCCUCGUCCUUAUCGUGUGUCGUGAGCUGCUAGGGAAGCCCUCACCAAAGACCCCAUUGCAUUGAUUUUUGGACGGUGCUUCGACCUCGACCCCAGGUCAGGCGGGACUACCCGCUGAGUUUAAGCAUAUCAAUAAGCGGA
Molecule: ribosomal RNA, 696 nt
Filed under: Scorzoneroides rilaensis
Lineage: Eukaryota; Viridiplantae; Streptophyta; Magnoliopsida; Asterales; Asteraceae
Description: eukaryotic LSU rRNA
Rfam family: 5.8S ribosomal RNA (bases 258-413)
Source: RNAcentral